This 468-nucleotide ribosomal RNA is filed under the name uncultured bacterium. RNAcentral describes it as "partial 16S ribosomal RNA". It matches the Rfam family "Bacterial small subunit ribosomal RNA", at positions 28 to 507 of the family's 1533-position model. The record is from RNAcentral.
GACGAACGCUGGCGGCGUGCCUAACACAUGCAAGUCGAACGGAAAGGCCCUGCUUUUGUGGGGUGCUCGAGUGGCGAACGGGUGAGUAACACGUGAGUAACCUGCCCUUGACUUUGGGAUAACUUCAGGAAACUGGGGCUAAUACCGGAUAGGAGCUCCUGCUGCAUGGUGGGGGUUGGAAAGUUUCGGCGGUUGGGGAUGGACUCGCGGCUUAUCAGCUUGUUGGUGGGGUAGUGGCUUACCAAGGCUUUGACGGGUAGCCGGCCUGAGAGGGUGACCGGCCACAUUGGGACUGAGAUACGGCCCAGACUCCUACGGGAGGCAGCAGUGGGGAAUAUUGCACAAUGGGCGGAAGCCUGAUGCAGCAACGCCGCGUGCGGGAUGACGGCCUUCGGGUUGUAAACCGCUUUCGCCUGUGACGAAGCGUGGGUGACGGUAAUGGGUAAAGAAGCACCGGCUAACUACGUG